RNAcentral lists this ribosomal RNA (357 nucleotides) under uncultured bacterium. RNAcentral describes it as "partial 16S ribosomal RNA". It matches the Rfam family "Bacterial small subunit ribosomal RNA", at positions 338 to 693 of the family's 1533-position model. The record is from RNAcentral.
CCUACGGGAGGCAGCAGUGAGGAAUAUUGGUCAAUGGGCGCGAGCCUGAACCAGCCAAGUCGCGUGAGGGAAGACGGUCCUAUGGAUUGUAAACCUCUUUUGUCGGGGAGCAAAAGACGCCACGCGUGGCGUUCCGAGAGUACCCGAAGAAAAAGCAUCGGAUAACUCCAUGCCAGCAGCCGCGGUAAUACGGAGGAUGCGAGCGUUAUCCGAAUUUAUUUGGUUUAAAGGGUGCGCAGGCGGUAGAUCAAGUCAGCGGUAAAAUUGAGAGGCUAAACCGCUUCGAGCCGUUGAAACUGGUUGUGUUGGGUGAGCGAGAAGGAGGCGGAAUGCGUGGUGUAGCGGUGAAAUGCAUAG